UGAUAUCUUCCCUGAGUCUCCCUGUGUUUCCUCUGUGGUCCUUCCUGUGUUCCUUUGCAUGCCACUCUAUUUUGAGGCUGGAGCUGAUGAGGAGUCUAUUUCGCUGGACUUGAUUCAGCUGUUUCUCCAUCUGGCGUUUGAGCACCUGGGUGCACGUGAAGAGGCCAGCGCAUCUGUUGUGUGACGCCAGGAGCAGUGUACCACGAGCACUGGUAACAACCACAGAUCUGCCAUUAGAGACUCGUUGCUUUGGCGGUAGGACUUGAGUGCUGGUGAAACAUCCAAACCACUAGGACAUAAGAGUGGAAAUGAUGGAGCACGCUGUGGGAGAGGAAAAGGCCACAUACAGCCUCCGGGCUCCUUCAUGCCUCCUAGAAAUGGAGCCAGACUGAUCAACAUAAACAAGGAUGAAAUUAUUUGCGGCUGUCUCACAAAAGUAUGUAACUGAUCGGGUUACUCGGAUGAUCACUGCAUAGACAUUUCACAUCUACCUUUUUCAUUGCUGUUUGCCUGAUGUUGUCCCGUGUUAAAUAAUGCUCAUUAAUGAGUAACAAUGCUGGGUUUGUUUCAGCAUUAAGCAGAGAUUUCUGUCCGUUCUUCGCUUUCACAGCACACAGUAUGAAAAGAGGAUUCAUUAAUCACACCACAGACAAAUUAACAGGGGUGUUUCUAAACACCCCGGGUUUUUGCAAAGACACCCAGCCCCUCCAUGCAUUGUUGAUGUUGUUUGGGCUCAGUUCGUCUGUGGCAGAUUGGCUCAUAGGGAAGCUUGCAGACAUUUGAAUUAAAGCUGCAAAACUAUUAAAAAUGUAUGGCCCUGUAUGAAUGCAUGACCUAUAUUUUCCAUGCAAAUAAAUAAAUAAAUAAACGGGGUUUAGUGGGGAUGAUGCAAAUCUUCAGAAGUGGGACACAGGAUGAGCUAAUGACAACAAUAAAGAGUUUGGA
This is a long non-coding RNA of Oreochromis aureus, 945 nucleotides long. RefSeq lists it as uncharacterized. NCBI's taxonomy places the organism in Eukaryota, Metazoa, Chordata, Actinopteri, Cichliformes, Cichlidae. The transcript is spliced from 5 exons. The record is from RefSeq and is a predicted model, not a curated record.